Molecule: microRNA, 21 nt
Filed under: Oryza sativa (Asian cultivated rice)
Lineage: Eukaryota; Viridiplantae; Streptophyta; Magnoliopsida; Poales; Poaceae
Also listed under: 1 other name
Description: osa-miR1320-5p
Source: miRBase by way of RNAcentral
UGGAACGGAGGAAUUUUAUAG